RNAcentral lists this ribosomal RNA (522 nucleotides) under uncultured bacterium. RNAcentral describes it as "partial 16S ribosomal RNA". It matches the Rfam family "Bacterial small subunit ribosomal RNA", at positions 355 to 885 of the family's 1533-position model. The record is from RNAcentral.
UGGGGAAUAUUGCACAAUGGGCGCAAGCCUGAUGCAGCGACGCCGCGUGGGGGAUGACGGCCUUCGGGUUGUAAACCUCUUUCAGCAGGGACGAAGCGAAAGUGACGGUACCUGCAGAAGAAGCACCGGCCAACUACGUGCCAGCAGCCGCGGUAAUACGUAGGGUGCGAGCGUUGUCCGGAAUUACUGGGCGUAAAGAGCUCGUAGGUGGUUUGUCGCGUUGUUCGUGAAAACCGGGGGCUUAACCCUCGGCGUGCGGGCGAUACGGGCAGACUAGAGUACUGCAGGGGAGACUGGAAUUCCUGGUGUAGCGGUGGAAUGCGCAGAUAUCAGGAGGAACACCGGUGGCGAAGGCGGGUCUCUGGGCAGUAACUGACGCUGAGGAGCGAAAGCGUGGGGAGCGAACAGGAUUAGAUACCCUGGUAGUCCACGCCGUAAACGGUGGGUACUAGGUGUGGGGUUUCCUUCCUUGGGAUCCGUGCCGUAGCGUAACGCAUUAAGUACCCCGCCUGGGGAGUACGG